CUUUGGUACCUCUUUUUGUAUGAUCAUGAAAAAGCUACCAUAGUAACCUAACAGCAAUUAACAUUUACAUCAUCCCCCCAGAACAUUUUUGUGCCAUACAGAUAUUUUAUUAACCAUCACCCCCUUCUCCUCCUCCUCCUCCUGCUUAGCCUCUCUUCCUAUGUGGACCAGCCAGCAAAAAGGAACGUGCUAUUUUGGUCUUGCUCAUAGAAAAAUGUUUGCACAGCAAAUCAAUGGCCACCCAACCAAACAAACAUGAUCGCUUAGCAAAUAUUUGAGCAUGCAGAAAGACUGUAGGUAGGUCUGCAGCUCUGGGCAUACCAUCCCUAAAACCCAGGAAUAAUUAGCUUACUGUGCUGUUUGCCUUUUGAUUUAGCAUGAGCCAAAAAGUACCACCUGUCAUAUCAGUUUAGUUGGAUGAAACGCCCUGAAGCUGUGAAUCCUUGCUUUUGAAUUCAAUGAGAGAUAUUGACUGAAACCCUUAAAUUCGGCUGGAGUGAUGAUUUUCUCUAAAUCCUGCUGCACCACUCAGACCUUCAUAAAAGUCUUAAAGCAGUGAGAUACUGAGGAUCUUUUACAUAAAUGUGCAUUAAAUCAUUCAGUCAAAACAUGCAGUCUGUAUAAAGGAGUGUCAAUAGCUGUGUCUCCAGUUGGACAAAGAAACUAGGGCAUACUUAAUAUGGUAUCACCUCAAUCAGAGAGAUUUUUUCGAAGUUUCAGGAACUUGAAAGGAAAUUCAAGUGGAAAAUCACAAACUUGAGCGGUAUGAGAUUUAACGGUUUUUGCCUCUUUUUUUCUCCUUUUUUCUCCCUUACUCUGUCUGGGUCAUUCCUUUUGAUUGUCACUAUGCAGCAUUCAGGGCCCUUCAUGUGAUUGGUGCUAAGUGCCUUGGGUUUUGUGGUCACAGGCAGCAUGUGGGGAAUGUGCUCAAAAAUAUACACAGCCUUACAGAUUGGCUCCUCCUGUGAGUGAGCUUGAGGGGGUAAAGGCCUGGGAUUGAUUACGAUUGUUAAUCAGGAAUCAGUUCGAUACUCUCAAAAAAAGGACCCUUCAUCAGAGCCAGCACUCCAUCACAUCUGGACUUUAACCACAGCGUCAGAGCAGCUGGUCACUGCGAGAACCAUUCUGUUACCUUUUUAAGAGUUGGUUAGUGACAGCAAAUAUGCAAAUAUGGUGUUUACCCACUUAGUGUUCCUGUAUUGAUAUAAUGGACAUUGAAAUGUUGCCAUUAAGAGCUUCAGUAAGUAAUUCACACACCCUCUGCUGCGGGACUUUAAAUAUAUAAUUCAUUUACUAUUUCCUCAAUGUUCAUAAUUUCAUUCAUCUAAUUUAAUGAUCAACUGCAGCCACACAAAUGCAUUAUAUAUCAUAUAAUUGCUAUGUAAAGUAUCAGCAGUGCUGUUAAGUGAGGGGAAGUUACUACAGGAAUCCCUCAUCACAGAAACGCCGGUGUAUGAGCAUACAGUGUAUUUAUUUCACCUAUUUCAUUAUUUCUUCUUCAGGUUCAGCUCUCACAACAGAUGUGGAAGGUUUUAAAGACUGCAUUUAGUUCAGUAAGGGUUUAACCUUAGGAUGGAAAUGGGAGACCUGUUAUUUUCUGAGGUGCACUCAGGCAGUUUGAGGGACGAGGCAAAAUAAAGAAAUAAGAUUCCUUUACACCCUGAAGCACAGAUGUACAAGAACUUGUGAUUAAUAAAGAUUUGUCUGUAGCAGCAUUUUGAUUACCAACUUCAAGCUCUUCAAACUCUUCACAUUGUUGUCUCUCCGUCUCAUUCAAUGAUCAUAACCUUGUUUCAUAGCAGAACCCAGGUUUAUUGCUUCUAAUGCUUAAUUUCCUUAGAGGUGGAAAUAUAAAAGAAAAACACAAAAUUAUGAAUACAUAAUCAAAAACAGAAGCUCACAUUCAAGUAAGAUUUAAUCUUAAUCUGUUAUUUCCACAGGGUUAUUUUAAAACACAGUAAAUCUAUGUAAAUUAAAUGAGAGAAUGAAUUCAAUCAAAAAUAAAAUUGAGGGGAAAAAAGUAUUCAGGAUUCAAUUUUGUGCUCAAACCUUGCAUGUCAGCUAAAUAUAUAUUGCACAUUACCUACUGGAAGAGCCUUAAGAGAGCACCUUUUUUAACAUGCUUUUUACUGGAUAGACAACUAGAGGGCCAUUUUUUUCAGUGGCUACUCCUUAAGUCUGAUUGGCAACCCUGGCGGCUGGUUUGAGAUCCCAAAAACUGAUUGGCUUGUUAGUGGCAGCAUUUAUAUUGAAAUUGACCAGGUUGUGUUUUAACCAUAGACUGCAUAUAGAAUGGGCAACAUCUAGCUCUUCUAACACUGCCUGAUGACUGGUUGUAGUAUAGGUCAUAAACCCUGCCUCCUCCAGCAAAAUGAAUGGAGCUGUGGACAAACUUUUGAAAUGUCAUUACAUGCAAUAUAACCUUCUCCCCAUACUUUAUAAUCUUACAUGAUACUAUAUGAUUGUCCAUGCUAUAUACAGUCUAUGGUUUCAACUAAGUUUCUCAGUGUUUCAGUGUAAGACAUGUUCAUUUGUUGAUAAUGUGAUUGGUGACUUGGUGAUUAUAUACAUAGAUAUGUUGUUGUUGUUGUUUUCGUCUCUGAAGUAAUAGUAGAGAAAACCCUGCUGUAUGGAGUCAUGUUUAUUGUUGUAAUGUUAAUGUCUGUGCCCUAGUUUGGCCAUCCAAAUUUAAAAAAAAUAAGAAAAAAAAGUUUGGAUACGCAACCACAUCUGUUUCAUACUUUGUCCACCGGGAGGGCAUCCACACUGAAUGACUGUCCAGUUGUUGAAAAGAGCACAGAGCUUGUUAUGUGUCACCCUUUGAAAGAGCAGCGACUGUAGCAUGUACAGUAAGAAUAAGAAUAAUCUUCCCUUCGGGGAUCAAUAAAGUUAGUGUCUGUUGUCGCAUUUGUCAUGUCUCAAAAGUCAUGUCUCAAAAGUCAUCUAAUAUUUAUAAAAGAGUUGUAAAGUCUGAUGGCUGUCGGUACAAAAGAUCUUCUGAAACUUUCUGUCCUGCAGAGAAGAGAAAGGAGUCGUCCACCACCAUUGGCCCUUGAGUCCAUGAAGGUGUUAUGAAGCAGGUGAUCCAUGUUCUUUAGAACAGUCUCCACCUUCCUUAGUGUUCAUCUCUCCACCACAUCCUCCACUGGGUCCAUCUUAAAUCAAACCAUGGAGCCAGCCUUUUUCACCAGUUUGUUCAGAUGUCUUGUAUCUUUGUGUUUCUUUCCUCCCCAGCAGACUGCAGCGUAGAACAGAACACUUGCUACCACAGACUGAUAAAACAUCUGUAGCAUCUUACUGCAGAUGUCUAUUAAUCGUAUGUACACCUGGGUAUUUAUAUGAUGUCACCACUUCGAUGUACACUCCACAGAUGUUCACUGGCUGAACAGGGGGUUUGGAUCUGCAAAAGUCUAUGAUCAUCUCCUUUGUCUUUGAGGUUUUGAGGAGGAGACAGUUUUUGUGACUCUAGUCUCUGGAGGCUCUUUUCAAAUCUCUGAAUUCAGCUUCUUGUCCAUUUCUGAUACAUGCCACGAUAGCAGUGUCAUUUGAGUAUUUCUGGAUGUGGCAGGACUCAGUGCUGUAUUUGAAGUCUGACGUGUACAGUGUGAACAGGAAUGACGCCAGCACUGUCCCUUGUAGAACCCCUGUACUGUUCAUUAAUGCCCCAGAAACACAGUUCCCCAGCCUGACAAACUGUGGCCUUCCUGUCAGGUAAUCUGUGAUCUAGGAAACACAGGAAGGAUCUACUCCCAUCUCUGUGAGCUUGUCUUUGAGUAUGUUGGGUUUGAUGGUGUUGAAUGCACUUUGAAAGUUAAAGAACAUGAUCCUCACAUAAACUCCAGGUUCCUUCAGAUGAGACAGGGCACGAUGAAGCAUGUAGAGGACAGCAUGAUUCACUCUAAUGUGUUCUUUGUAUGCAAACUGCAGGGAAUCCAGUUUGUCUUUGACCUCAGACCUCAGAAGGCAUAGAAUCAGCCGCUCCAGGGUUUUCAUGAUUUGUGAAGUGAGGACCACUGAUAGUUAUUGAGUUCAGCAGGACAUUUUGUUUUUGGUACUGGCACAAUGCAGGAUGUUUUCCACAGAGCAGGUACCUGCCCCAGCUGUAGACUCAGGUUGAAGAUACUGUGGAGAGGUCAGUUCUGCAGCACAGUCUCUAAGCAGCCUUGGUCACACACCAUCUGGACCAGCUGCCUUCCCAGGACAAAGUCUUCCCAGCUCCAUCCUCACCCCUGUUUCUGUGACAGACAAGGACUGGUGUCAGAGAAGGGAGGUAGUUGAAGUGGUUGAGAAAUUUGAAUGAGAUGGAGGAGGAAGGGGUGAAGUUGUCGUGAAGAUCUGUUGCGGAGAGGAAGGUGGAGCAGCAGUGGAAGAACAGGUUGAGUUUACCAGCUCUUUCCAGAUCACCCACCACUGGCUGUCAUCCAGAGAUGGUACUGAUUCCUCUCCACACUUCACAGAUGUUUCUGUGUGGCAGAUUCCUCUCUAUCUUCUAUUUGUAUUCCAGCUUUGCCAUCUCCAGUCUCCUCUUCAACUCUCGUUGCACUUGUUUGAGUCAUUCUUUGUCACCAUCUUUAAAAGCUUUGUUUUUCUGGUUAAGGAUUGGUUUUAUGUCACUUGUGAUCCAGGGCUUGUUGUUGGGGAAACAGUCCUUGUCGGUGUGACUGUGUCUCUACAGAAGUUGAUGUAUUCGGUAAAGCAGUCAACCUGUCUGUCAAUGUUCAUACUGUCGUCAUCUGUUUCCAGAAAACACAAAAACUCAAAAAAGAAUUGUAAUUUCCAAAACACCUUUUCAAGCAUAAACCAUCAACUUUCCAUCUCUGCCCACAGAGCACAACACCCCUCCCACAGCCCACACUUGGCUGAAAGCCUGCACAUUCUCUAUCAUUUGAAAGUAAGAAAACUCCACCCUUAGUCUGGCCUUAAGCAAACCCUGCAGAGCUGCCAAGGGAUUCUCAGCACCAGAGUCCAGGACCUUUUUCCUCUAGGUCAGCCAGAUGGCCAACUUUGCAAAGCCCAAGAGAAAGUUUAUCAAUGUGUGUUCAGCUUUUUUUUCUUGGCAGUGUACUUUGGGCCAUAGAUAAAGAGUCCAAAGGAAAACAUCGAGUCUGCGAACAGAACAAGAAGCCCUUUUCCACCCCAGGACAGAUGUGCGCUCUGUGUCUGUUCAUAGCUAUCUCACCAUGUACGAUCCUCCACUGAAGGUCUGCAGUCGGUUUUUUAAUGGGCAGUUUGUGCAGGGACCGCCCGCUGCCUAUGGGGGGUAACGUCUGGACCAAAUAGUCCAGAUGUUUCCCCCAAAUUCCAAUCUGGCUGCAAAGACUGUGUUGUUUUGGACUCUAACCCAUGUGUACUGUCUGAACUGAGGGUGUUUGAUUCUGAAGGUAUCUAGCAGAUCACAGUGGGAGAUAACCAAGCUCAGAGCUCAGGAUGAAGGUGGGUGAGGUUCCUCUCAUAUCCGGUCUGUGGUGAAGUCCGGGGUGCAUUUAAAGUCCCCACCAAGGAUAAUUUGGUCCUGAUGGAAGAACAUCAGCUCACCUUUCAGCUGACUAUAGAAAGACACCCUUUCUGAUUCAAGGCUAGGAGCAUAAACAUUAGCAAAACAGAACACACACUCAUCAAUUUCUGCCCUAGCCAGCAGCAGCCAGCCAGACACCACCUUAGGUGAGCAUAUUAGCAUGAGCAUUAUCUUAAUAAUAAAAAAAAAAAUUGCUACACCAGCACUGGGGUUUAUGGUAGAAUAGUUUCUGUCAACCCAGCCAUGGCAAUAACUUCAGUCAGUCUUAUCUGACUGAUCACUGUGAUCAACCCUUUUCUGACCACGUACUUCAGUUACAAGAGCUUUUAUAUUUCCGUCUCUCCCACCGUUUAUAUUAAGAGACCCUUUUUUAAUACUCCUUGUGGAGAAGUGAGACAGGAAACGCAGACAGACAGAAAUCAGCAGGACUCUGUAGAGAGAAGACACCCUGUGAUGCAUGAUCAUUUUUAUUUCCUGAGUUUAUGGAGAGUUUUACUUUUCUCUGAGCUGUGAUGUGUUUUUUAAAUCUGAACCUUUUCAUUUCAUCAAGGAGGUCAAAACCUACCUGUUUCUUAAAUAUGAUGACUGACCUGAUGAAUCUCUCUGUGUCACUGCAGUAAUCGCUCACCUUUACUACUUUUUUGUUGUAUCGGUCAUCUAUGUACCACAUGAUUUCCUGUAAGGUCUGUGCCCCUUUUUGAAGCUUCAGUGUUAUCUGAGUCACAGUCCUCCUCCAUGUCCUCUUACUCACAUGCAGCCUGACUGCACACUACCUGAGCCUCACCUGUGAUCUCACUGAUGUGAACUGCCUCCCCACCGUUUGGCUGUACUUCAUCAGCUACUGCAGACAGAGAGCUGCUGAGGUUUACUGCAGCCACAGACCACUCAUCUAACUUAGCUGACAGAGUUUCAGCUCAGCUGUUGCUGCAGACUGAGAGCUCCUCAUAUCUGCUUCAGCUCUUUCUACCUGCUGGUCUGCAGCUGAGCUCUGAGUUGAAAACACUGUCUCAUCAUACUGUAUUCUAGAAUUACAAGAAACUACAACACUGUUAUAAUCACCAGGUCUAAUAGUGGUUAACUCUAGCUUUAUGUUAUUAAUGUUGAUGAGGUUGAUGUUAAUGUCUGCAGCAACAGUCCAGAGGAACUGAAAGAGAAGAAGGAGCUCAAGGCAUGAGGCAGACAAUCGUAGAUGGUGCAGCUGGGGUCAGUCAGGUCCACAACGACCAACGCUCCAGAGGAACCUAAGAGACUGGGGAGCUCUGGGACACUCAGAUUUCUGGUUAGUAUCUUUAAUGGGACACAGAGAUCUAAAGGAGAGAGAGGGACAAACUGGAGCUCAGUGGGCCAGUUCCCCCGGCAGUCUAAACCUAAAGCAACAUAACUCAGAGCUAGUUCAAACCUAAUCAGCCCUAACUAUAAGCUUUAUCAAAGAGGAAAGUUUUAGGUCUACUUUUGAAAGUUGAGAGGGUGUCUUUUGAAGACAAAAAACUUUUGAUACAACAAGCAGACCUGCAGACUGUGAGCGUAGUGGUCUAUGGGGAAAGGUAUUACAAGCUCCUUAACCACUUGUGCCCGCAACUGGGCGGGCAAGACCAUGGCAUGAGCCUCUUCCGGUCAUCUCCAGCCUCUAGCUUCACAAGGACGAGAUG
Xyrichtys novacula (pearly razorfish) is the source of this 7164-nucleotide non-coding RNA. Lineage: Eukaryota; Metazoa; Chordata; Actinopteri; Labriformes; Labridae. The record is from the annotation of a GenBank genome assembly.